GACGAACGCUGGCGGCGUGCUUAACACAUGCAAGUCGAACGGAAAGGCCCUGCUUUUGUGGGGUGCUCGAGUGGCGAACGGGUGAGUAACACGUGAGUAACCUGCCCUUGACUUUGGGAUAACUUCAGGAAACUGGGGCUAAUACCGGAUAGGAGCUCCUGCUGCAUGGUGGGUGUUGGAAAGUUUCGGCGGUUGGGGAUGGACUCGCGGCUUAUCAGCUUGUUGGUGGGGUAGUGGCUUACCAAGGCUUUGACGGGUAGCCGGCCUGAGAGGGUGACCGGCCACAUUGGGACUGAGAUACGGCCCAGACUCCUACGGGAGGCAGCAGUGGGGAAUAUUGCACAAUGGGCGGAAGCCUGAUGCAGCAACGCCGCGUGCGGGAUGGCGGCCUUCGGGUUGUAAACCGCUUUCGCCUGUGACGAAGCGUGAGUGACGGUAAUGGGUAAAGAAGCACCGGCUAACUACGUG
Molecule: ribosomal RNA, 468 nt
Filed under: uncultured bacterium
Lineage: Bacteria
Description: partial 16S ribosomal RNA
Rfam family: Bacterial small subunit ribosomal RNA
Source: RNAcentral